RNAcentral lists this ribosomal RNA (1314 nucleotides) under Rosellinia corticium. RNAcentral describes it as "LSU rRNA". It matches the Rfam family "Eukaryotic large subunit ribosomal RNA", at positions 74 to 1414 of the family's 3401-position model. Lineage: Eukaryota; Fungi; Ascomycota; Sordariomycetes; Xylariales; Xylariaceae. The record is from RNAcentral.
AUUGCCCCAGUAACGGCGAGUGAAGCGGCAACAGCUCAAAUUUGAAAUCUGGCCCUCGGGUCCGAGUUGUAAUUUGUAGAGGAUGCUUUUGGCGCGGUGCCUUCCGAGUUCCCUGGAACGGGACGCCUUAGAGGGUGAGAGCCCCGUACGGUUGGACACCAAGCCUCUGUAAAGCGCCUUCGACGAGUCGAGUAGUUUGGGAAUGCUGCUCUAAAUGGGAGGUAAAUUUCUUCUAAAGCUAAAUAUUGGCCAGAGACCGAUAGCGCACAAGUAGAGUGAUCGAAAGAUGAAAAGCACUUUGAAAAGAGGGUUAAACAGCACGUGAAAUUGUUGAAAGGGAAGCGUUUGCGACCAGACCUCUCCCCGGCGGAUCAUCCGGCGUUCUCGCCGGUGCACUUCGCCGGGCUGAGGCCAGCAUCGGUUUCCGCGGGGGGACAAAAGCGGGGGGAACGUAGCUCCCUCGGGAGUGUUAUAGCCCCCCGCAUAAUACCCUCGCGGGGACCGAGGACCGCGCUUCGGCAAGGAUGCUGGCGUAAUGGUCGUCAACGACCCGUCUUGAAACACGGACCAAGGAGUCGAACAUUUGUGCGAGUGUUUGGGUGUCAAACCCUCACGCGUAAUGAAGGUGAACGUAGGUGAGAGCCUUCACGGGCGCAUCAUCGACCGAUCCUGAUGUCUUCGGAUGGAUUUGAGUAAGAGCAUAACUGUUCGGACCCGAAAGAUGGUGAACUAUGCGUGGAUAGGGUGAAGCCAGAGGAAACUCUGGUGGAGGCUCGCAGCGGUUCUGACGUGCAAAUCGAUCGUCAAAUCUGCGCAUGGGGGCGAAAGACUUAUCGAACCAUCUAGUAGCUGGUUACCGCCGAAGUUUCCCUCAGGAUAGCAGUGUUGUUCUUCAGUUUUAUGAGGUAAAGCGAAUGAUUAGGGACUCGGGGGCGCUCUUUAGCCUUCAUCCAUUCUCAAACUUUAAAUAUGUAAGAAGCCCUUGUUGCUUAGUUGAACGUGGGCAUUCGAAUGUACCAACACUAGUGGGCCAUUUUUGGUAAGCAGAACUGGCGAUGCGGGAUGAACCGAACGCGGGGUUAAGGUGCCGGAGUGGACGCUCAUCAGACACCACAAAAGGUGUUAGCACAUUUAGACAAUAGGACGGUGGCCAUGGAAGUCGGAAUCCGCUAAGGACUGUGUAACAACUCACCUAUCGAAUGUGCUAGCCCUGAAAAUGGAUGGCGCUCAAGCGUCCCACCCAUACCUCGCCCUCGGGGUAGGAUCGGUGCCCCGAGGAGUAGGCGGCCGUGGGGGUCAGUGACGAAGCCUAGG